AGUGAACGCUGGCGGUAGGCCUAACACAUGCAAGUCGAACGGCAGCACAGUAAGAGCUUGCUCUUACGGGUGGCGAGUGGCGGACGGGUGAGGAAUACAUCGGAAUCUACUUUUUCGUGGGGGAUAACGUAGGGAAACUUACGCUAAUACCGCAUACGACCUACGGGUGAAAGCAGGGGAACUUCGGACCUUGCGCGAUUGAAUGAGCCGAUGUCGGAUUAGUUAGUUGGCGGGGUAAAGGCCCACCAAGGCGACGAUCCGUAGCUGGUCUGAGAGGAUGAUCGGCCACACUGGAAGUGAGACACGGUCCAGACUCCUACGGGAGGCAGCAGUGGGGAAUAUUGGACAAUGGGCGCAAGCCUGAUCCAACCAUACCGCGUGGGUGAAGAAGGCCUUCGGGUUGUAAAGCCCUUUUGUUGGGAAAGAAAAGCAGCAGGUUAAUACCCCGCUGUUCUGACGGUACCCAAAGAAGAAGCACCGGCUAACUUCGUG
RNAcentral lists this ribosomal RNA (492 nucleotides) under uncultured bacterium. RNAcentral describes it as "partial 16S ribosomal RNA". It matches the Rfam family "Bacterial small subunit ribosomal RNA", at positions 29 to 507 of the family's 1533-position model. The record is from RNAcentral.